Long non-coding RNA from Helianthus annuus (common sunflower), 633 nucleotides. RefSeq lists it as uncharacterized. The transcript is spliced from 2 exons. The record is from RefSeq and is a predicted model, not a curated record. Lineage: Eukaryota; Viridiplantae; Streptophyta; Magnoliopsida; Asterales; Asteraceae.
CAGCCUAGAAAAAUUUCUUGGGUCCGCCACUGUUGAUUUUUGUAGAGUGACGUGAAGCAUGGUGAGGUUCAUAUGACGGUUCGAUGUUUCAGAUUACAGGGUCGAUGUUGAACAACUGGUUAAGAUCUGAAGCAUUUUUGUAAUUGCAUGUUGCAUUUUUUGCUCAUGUAAAAAGUGGGUCUUAUUGUUCCAGAUCUAAAAGAUGAUCUGAAAUCCAAAAAGAGGAUCCAGUUCCAAGAUGCUACCAGAUCCAAAAGAUGCUCCAGAUCCGGUUGAAGAUGUUCGAUGUUGAAGAUGAUAUUCCAUAUAACGCCUAGCAACUGCCCUUUCAUUGGUUGGGUCGACCCACCGAUGUGCUUACGGUCAACUAGGAUCAUACCAGGUCUUUUGAGGAACAUCAACAACCUGCAAGCUGAAUUGUUACCCGUGAGCAAGAAAUUCGGAAGAAGAAGAGGGUUAUAUGGUUACUAAUAUUAGCGUUAGUGAUUGGCAGCUUACUUGUUAGCAUUGUUUGUUGUGAUUAAGAAAUAGGUGGUACUUAGUUGGAUUAUCCUUCUUAGUAUGUUAAUGACAUUUGUAGUAUGUACUUGUUGAUGUUUGGUUGAAUCUGAGAAUUUUCUAUGUUAUGGAUUU